Molecule: non-coding RNA, 559 nt
Organism: Pimephales promelas (fathead minnow)
Lineage: Eukaryota; Metazoa; Chordata; Actinopteri; Cypriniformes; Leuciscidae
Source: RefSeq, a predicted model, not a curated record
AAAGUGACUGCUACAGUAUUAUAAAUAACCAAGCUUUUGGCUUGAUGCUGUGGUCUGUUCAUACAGGAGGAGCGACAUAUGCUGUCCUGGCCACUGUUUUUCCUGUGCUCUUGUUUUUAGGAUUCAGCUCCGUGUGUGUGUGUGUGUGUGUGUGUGUGUACGUGUACGUGGGGAAGAACCGUGUAUUGGGUUGCCUAUGAGCCUCCCCCUGGUGUGUUGAUGUAUGUUGUGUGUUAUGUAAUGUGUGUAUUUUAGGCCAUUGGGUUGGUGCAAUAUCCUGGGUAGGGGGGGGAUAACAAUUUUGUUGUGUGGCCACUGGUUUGUCUAGUGUGAAUUAUUUUCUUUUUGGUUAUAUUUGUGCAUGUGAUUUUGUGACGUGCCUUAUCAAUUUUGAGUUUGUUGUAUUUUGUUUUUGAGUUAUUUGAACACUUUGAUUUUGGAUUUUGUUGUCCCUGACUCUGUUGCCCAGAGGCCUAAUGUCCUUUGAAUACUGUUUCAUGUUGUGAGUCCAUUGAGCCAAAGAAAAGGGGAAAUAAAUAAAUUUUCUAUUUUUAUAAUA